ACACUGCCGAGGAGUCCCAUAAUAGGACGAAACGGCUGUCCAAUGC
Non-coding RNA from Schistosoma curassoni, 46 nucleotides. The record is from Rfam. Lineage: Eukaryota; Metazoa; Platyhelminthes; Trematoda; Strigeidida; Schistosomatidae.